Molecule: transfer RNA, 72 nt
Filed under: Bos taurus (domestic cattle)
Lineage: Eukaryota; Metazoa; Chordata; Mammalia; Artiodactyla; Bovidae
Also listed under: 4 other names
Rfam family: tRNA
About the family: Transfer RNA (tRNA) molecules are approximately 80 nucleotides in length.
Source: Rfam by way of RNAcentral
UCCCUUGUAGCUCAGCUGGUAAAGAAUCUGCCUGCAAUGCAGGAGACCCUGGUUCAAAUCCUGGGUCAGGAA